AUGAGGCCACCGCUCCGCCGCCUCCCCUCCUUGCUCGUCCGCGGCCUCCGUCGCCAUCUUCCUCCCCGCUCGAAUCUUCUUCCUCGCCGGCGGCCACAGUGCCCAUCUUCCGCUCUUCCCGGAGCUUCUUUCUCGUCGGCGGCCCCCUUCCCAUCUCCCCCCUUGCCUGCAUCUUCUUCCUCGCCAGCGGCCACCGUUGCCGUCCCCCUCCGCACCCGUAUCGCGGCCGUAUUUGCCAAGCAUCCCUGCCGCAUCCCGAAUUCUUUCGUUUCUUGUAUUAAAUCACAGAACAAGAGAUACUCAGGGAUACGCGUAUCCCCACGCGUCCUGGCGCAUCCCCCUGUCGUGUGCGCGCCGCGCAGGGGCAUCGCGUCGCUUUCGAGUUUGGUGGGUGACUGCUCUACUUCUGGCUGCGCCCCCCAGAGCAUUGAAGAUGACCGCGACAACGACGACGAUCUUGAUUCCGAGAAUUGGGAUGGCAACAAUGAUGCUGCUGGUGGGAGUGAGCCCAACUCUGAUCGUUCUGAUGAUGAGGCUACGGGCAGCUUCUUUGAUUCCUUUGGACAGAGAAAGAAAGUGAGACUCAUGGAAGAGAGCAAUAAGAAGAGGAAGCGAUAUGGAGGUGAAGCACAAGGAAAUCAACCUCCUUUUGAUGGUAGCCAGGACGACCCAAUGCCUCUUCCAAAUCCAAUGGUCGGGUUUAAUCUGCCUAGUGACAGGCUACGGUCAGUUAAGAGAAGGCUUACGAAGCAAGCUACUGGACCCCCCUUUUUUUAUUAUGAGAAUGUGGCCUUAGCCCCUAGAGGCGUAUGGAGAACUAUUUCAAGAACCUUAUAUGACAUCGAACCAGAAUUUGUGGAUUCUAAGUACCUUUGUGCAGCUGCCAGAAAACGAGGUUAUAUACACAAUCUACCAAUUGAUAACAGGUCACCUCUCCUUCCCCUCCCCCCAAAGAAUAUAUUUGAGGCGUUCCCUGAUUAUGAGAAGUGGUGGCCUUACUGGGACCCAAGAAGGCAGCUAAACUGCCUGCUGACGAGUGUGGCAAGUGCAAAGCUGACAGAACGCAUCGAGUAUGCUCUUGCAAGCUCAGGCAGUCUACCAUCUCCAAGUGUUCAGAAGUAUGUCACGGAUGAAUGCAGGAAAUGGAAUCUUGUGUGGAUUGGAAAGAACAAGGUUGCGCCUUUGGAGCCUCAUGAGAUGGAGUAUCUACUUGGUUUCCCAAGAGACCACACGAGAGGAGUAUGCAAGAUGGAGAGGUUACCAAUGACAACAUUUUGGGGUUCUUGGUGUGUAGCCUAUGAGCUCCAUCAUUACCUUGGCUUCUUUGAAGUAUCUUUAAAUGGAUUUCGUUUUCAGCUGAGUUCUAUUAACUUAAAUUUGGGUAGUUUUGACAUGUUGAACCCUGUUCUAUUUUUUCCUUUCCAUAGUUCCUGUUGA
RNAcentral lists this ribosomal RNA (1437 nucleotides) under Triticum aestivum (bread wheat). RNAcentral's name for it is "partial small subunit ribosomal RNA". Lineage: Eukaryota; Viridiplantae; Streptophyta; Magnoliopsida; Poales; Poaceae. The record is from RNAcentral.